GUGGGGAAUAUUCCGCAAUGGACGAAAGUCUGACGGAGCAACGCCGCGUGAGUGAUGAAGGUUUUCGGACUGUAAAGCUCUGUUGUUUAGGACGAAAGUGCCUGUUGCAAACAGUUACAGGUAUUGACGGUACUAAACGAGGAAGCCACGGCUAACUACGUGCCAGCAGCCGCGAUAAUACGUAGGUGGCAAGCGUUGUCCGGAAUUAUUGGGCGUAAAGAGCAUGUAGGCGGGAAUCUAAGUCUGUUGUGAAAAUGCGGGGCUCAACCCCGUAUUGCGAUGGAAACUGGGUUUCUUGAGUGCAGGAGAGGAAAGGGGAAUUCCCAGUGUAGCGGUGAAAUGCGUAGAUAUUGGGAGGAACACCAGUGGCGAAGGCGCCUUUCUGGACUGUGUCUGACGCUGAGAUGCGAAAGCCAGGGUAGCGAACGGGAUUAGAAACCCCGGUAGUCC
This 450-nucleotide ribosomal RNA is filed under the name uncultured bacterium. RNAcentral's name for it is "partial 16S ribosomal RNA". It matches the Rfam family "Bacterial small subunit ribosomal RNA", at positions 354 to 796 of the family's 1533-position model. The record is from RNAcentral.